CCUACGGGGUGCAGCAGUGGGGAAUAUUGCACAAUGGGCGCAAGCCUGAUGCAGCCAUGCCGCGUGUAUGAAGAAGGCCUUCGGGUUGUAAAGUACUUUCAGCGGGGAGGAAGGGAGUAAAGUUAAUACCUUUGCUCAUUGAUGUUACCCGCAGAAGAAGCACCGGCUAACUCCGUGCCAGCAGCCGCGGUAAUACGGAGGGUGCAAGCGUUAAUCGGAAUUACUGGGCGUAAAGCGCACGCAGGCGGUUUGUUAAGUCAGAUGUGAAAUCCCCGGGCUCAACCUGGGAACUGCAUCUGAUACUGGCAAGCUUGAGUCUCGUAGAGGGGGGUAGAAUUCCAGGUGUAGCGGUGAAAUGCGUAGAGAUCUGGAGGAAUACCGGUGGCGAAGGCGGCCCCCUGGACGAAGACUGACGCUCAGGUGCGAAAGCGUGGGGAGCAAACAGGAUUAGAUACCCGCGUAGUC
RNAcentral lists this ribosomal RNA (465 nucleotides) under uncultured bacterium. RNAcentral describes it as "bacterial SSU rRNA". It matches the Rfam family "Bacterial small subunit ribosomal RNA", at positions 338 to 795 of the family's 1533-position model. The record is from RNAcentral.